GGACUACCAGGGUAUCUAAUCCUGUUUGAUCCCCACGCUGUCGCGCCUGAGCGUCAGAAACGAGCCAGUGAGCCGCCUUCGCCACCGGUGUUCUUCCCAAUAUCUACGAAUUUCACCUCUACACUGGGAAUUCCACUCACCUCUCUCGUCCUCAAGUUCAACAGUUUCAAUGGCAAUUCCGGAGUUGAGCUCCGGGCUUUCACCACUGACUUGGAGAACCGCCUGCGCGCGCUUUACGCCCAGUAAUUCCGAACAACGCUAGCCCCCUUCGUAUUACCGCGGCUGCUGGCAC
Molecule: ribosomal RNA, 292 nt
Filed under: uncultured bacterium
Lineage: Bacteria
Description: partial 16S ribosomal RNA
Source: RNAcentral